This 100-nucleotide signal recognition particle RNA is filed under the name Nitrospirales bacterium. Its description in RNAcentral is "signal recognition particle sRNA small type". It matches the Rfam family "Bacterial small signal recognition particle RNA". Rfam says of the family: The signal recognition particle (SRP) is a universally conserved ribonucleoprotein involved in the co-translational targeting of proteins to membranes. Archaeal SRP consists of a 7S RNA and homologues of the eukaryotic SRP19 and SRP54 proteins. Lineage: Bacteria; Pseudomonadati; Nitrospirota; Nitrospiria; Nitrospirales. The record is from RNAcentral.
GGCCGGGCCCUGUGCGACGAGCACUUGUGAACCCCGUGAGGUCCGGAAGGAAGCAGCGGUAAGCAGGGACGUUCGGGUGCCGCAGGAUCACCUGGCCCUU